RNAcentral lists this ribosomal RNA (253 nucleotides) under uncultured bacterium. RNAcentral describes it as "partial 16S ribosomal RNA". It matches the Rfam family "Bacterial small subunit ribosomal RNA", at positions 524 to 776 of the family's 1533-position model. The record is from RNAcentral.
UACAGAGGUCCCAAGCGUUGUUCGGAUUCACUGGGCGUAAAGGGUGCGUAGGCGGUCGGGUAAGUCUGAUGUGAAAUCUCACAGCUUAACUGUGAAACUGCAUUGGAUACUAUUCGGCUUGAGAGUUGGAGGGGGGACUGGAAUUCUUGGUGUAGCAGUGAAAUGCGUAGAUAUCAAGAGGAACACCAGUGGCGAAGGCGAGUCUCUGGGAUGAUGCUGACGCUGAGGCGCGAAAGCCAGGGGAGCAAACGGG